This 253-nucleotide ribosomal RNA is filed under the name uncultured bacterium. RNAcentral's name for it is "partial 16S ribosomal RNA". It matches the Rfam family "Bacterial small subunit ribosomal RNA", at positions 524 to 776 of the family's 1533-position model. The record is from RNAcentral.
UACGUAGGGUGCGAGCGUUAAUCGGAAUUACUGGGCGUAAAGCGUGCGCAGGCGGUUUUGUAAGCCAGAUGUGAAAUCCCCGGGCUUAACCUGGGAAUGGCAUUUGGGACUGCAAGGCUGGAGUGCGGCAGAGGAGACUGGAAUUUACGGUGUAGCGGUGAAAUGCGUAGAUAUCGUAAGGAAGACCAGUGGCGAAGGCGGGUCUCUGGGCCGAUACUGACGCUGAGGAGCGAAAGCGUGGGGAGCGAACAGG